GCUGACAUGGUGCAGUGGUUUGAGCAUUAGACUAUGACUCUGGAGACCAGGGUUCAGUUCCCCACUCAGCC
This 71-nucleotide transfer RNA is filed under the name Phrynosoma platyrhinos (Desert horned lizard). RNAcentral describes it as "tRNA-OTHER". Lineage: Eukaryota; Metazoa; Chordata; Lepidosauria; Squamata; Phrynosomatidae. The record is from RNAcentral.